AGGUAUUUGAUAACUCCUUUCCUACAAAAAAGCAUUCCAACCCCAAAGGGAAUAAGACAGCUCAUUUAUUUGCUGAGCAGGACUGGAGGCAGCACAGACGGAGAAGAUGCCCGCCCUGAAGCAGCAGAGACUAAGUUCAGAGCUCCUGCCUGUCUCUCCUACUGUCACUGGCCAUGAUGGUGUAGCGGAAAAGCAGUCAGCAAGGCUUCUUCCUUCUGUGUCCUAAAUGCCCAUCCUGGGAAGUCCCAGAUCCAGGAAUCUCAGAAAACAGCAAGAAGAAUAAAUGCCAAAAACAAACAAAACAAAACUAUCCCUGGGCAGAUCAUAUUCAAAAUUCAGAAAAUUAAAGAUAAAAACAAAUCUUGAAAGAAGCUGGAGGGAGGAAAGUAGGAAACACCCAUAAAGGAGCCAAGUUGGCUCCUUUAGGGAAAAAGAAUGUUUGAAGUUAACCUGGGGAAACAGUGCUUGAACUCAACCCUCUGUACGCUGCAUUUAAACCUUUGAAGCCCAGAUACCAAAUGGAAUAUAAUGGCGUAUGUUUUCAUGUUUCCUGGGAGUUGGUGAGGGGUACUGAGAAGAGCCUGGAAUCUAACAUCUGUUGGGACUAAGUUCAAAUUCAUGUCUACAGGAGGUGCCUUCACCUUUCUGAACCAUUUCCACCUCUGAAAAAUGGAAGUAAUCAUCCCUACCUCCAAGGGCUGCUAUAAGGAUGGAAUAAGACAGUGAAGGUAAAACCUCUGCCACCCUCCUUCCUUCCCCUCCUACAGUUUCACCACUGCUUCUUGAAGCAUAUAGAGAAACGGAAAAGCAAAUUCCCAAAAUCUACAAGCUGUUUAACGAUCAGCUUUGACCUAAUUCUACUUCAAAGUGUUUGCUUCUCUUACCUCCCACUACCUCCCACCCAGCUGCCAAGUGUAAAGAACUCAUGAAAACUUAGGCCAAAUGGGAACCUGGAAUA
Cebus imitator (Panamanian white-faced capuchin) is the source of this 958-nucleotide long non-coding RNA. RefSeq lists it as uncharacterized. Lineage: Eukaryota; Metazoa; Chordata; Mammalia; Primates; Cebidae. The record is from RefSeq and is a predicted model, not a curated record. The transcript has 3 exons.